AGCAGCCAGCAUAUUCCUCUAAGCAAAUGAAUCAAAUUUCUUCUUGUAGGAAAAGCCCUUUCCCGCUCUCGCGACGCUUGCGGAUGCCAGAGCGUUCGGUCAUGGAGGCCCGAAGAAUCACCAGCAGAGGACUUGGAGGAGACUCGAGGGAGUGGGACGAAGAAGGUUAUCGGCGUAGCAUUCUUGUGGAGAGGGAGCUCAGCUCACGCAUCGUCUUCAGGACCGCCUUCGCUCCCUCCGAAAACCCUAAUCCUGAAAUCGUACUGGUGGCUUCUAGCGACGGAUCUCUCUCCGCUUAUUCCAUUUCCUCUUGCAUCUCUUCCUGUCCUCGGCCUAUUCUUUGUAGCAAGGGGACCGAUCAAAAGGCACCUGAAGUUUUGUGGGCUGAUCCACUUUGUUCAAUUCAAGCACACAAAGGCCCAUCAUAUGAUUUGAAGUUAUAUGGAAAUGACGAGGAAGCUUUACUAUUGAGCUGCGGUGAUGAUGGUUGCAUCAGGGGCUGGAAAUGGGCAGAAGUCCAUAUGGCUGCAGUUCAAGCGUCAAAUAAAGGCGAAAAGUUGAGUCCAAUAUUCGAGUUAGUGAACCCUCAGAAAGAAGGUCCAUGGGGUGCGCUUUCCCCAAUUCCAGAAAACAAUGCCAUCGCAGUUGACAAAGAGGAUGGAUCUAUUUUUUCAGCUGCUGGAGAUUCUUGUGCUUAUUGGUGGGAUAUGGAGACAGGCAAAAGGAAAAUAGUCUUCAAGGGCCACUCAGAUUACCUCCAUUCUGUUGUUAUACGUAAAUCCAGCAAUCAGAUUAUUACUGGUUCUGAAGAUGGCACUGCGAGGGUAUGGGACUGCAGAAGCGGAAGAUGUGCUCAAGUUAUAUAUCCUGAGAAGUGCAGCAAGUUGAAGGAAUCUUCCUGGAUCAGUUCCGUUGCACUUGAUAAUAGUGAAAGUUGGUCUGUGGAACAGGUAGAGGUUUAUCAGCUUGGAGCCUGCUUUCAUACGAGUGUAUUUUCAGCUUUGAUAGCCAUGCCCCAAUUCAAGAUCUAUUGUUUCAUGAUAAUCAAAUUCUGGCAGUUGGUGCUGAACCUGUGCUGAGAUGUUUCAACAUUAAUGGAAAAAUUCUUUCACAAAUCCAAUGCGCUCCUUCUUCGGCAUUUUCAAUUUCUGUGCAUCCUUCAGGGGUCACAGCAAUUGGUGGUUAUGGUGGACUGGUGGAUGUCAUCUCAGAAUUUGGCAGCCAUUUGUGCAUAUUUGGUUGUAAAAAUGCAGGUUCUUUUUAAACUCUGAAGUUGAUUAUAAGAAGGCUUUCACUGUAUACAGAAUUUCUUCGUAAACGGCUGCUUCCAUUCCACCAGACGGCUUUGCUAAUCUGUCUCAAAGAGCUGUAUGAAUCAUGCAGACCAAAACUAAGUUUUCCUCGCCUUUCGUAAGCAAAGGAUGACAGCAUUAUUCUCUCUCAGCUGAAAAUAAGCGAAAGAGAGAAGAAGGCUUUUGGGUUCCUUGAUGUUGAUAAGCUGUGAUGUAAUCUUAUUCGAUGAUGUCACUUAUUUAAGAGGGCCAUUUGGAAUUUUUUUAUUUAUUUAUUUUCAUCUUA
Molecule: RNA transcript, 1578 nt
Organism: Dendrobium catenatum
Lineage: Eukaryota; Viridiplantae; Streptophyta; Magnoliopsida; Asparagales; Orchidaceae
Gene name: THO complex subunit 6
Exons: 13
Source: RefSeq, a predicted model, not a curated record